Molecule: ribosomal RNA, 492 nt
Filed under: uncultured bacterium
Lineage: Bacteria
Description: partial 16S ribosomal RNA
Rfam family: Bacterial small subunit ribosomal RNA
Source: RNAcentral
AUUGAACGCUGGCGGUAGGCCUAACACAUGCAAGUCGAACGGCAGCACAGUAAGAGCUUGCUCUUACGGGUGGCGAGUGGCGGACGGGUGAGGAAUACAUCGGAAUCUACUUUUUCGUGGGGGGUAACGUAGGGAAACUUACGCUAAUACCGCAUACGACCUACGGGUGAAAGCAGGGGAUCUUCGGACCUUGCGCGAUUGAAUGAGCCGAUGUCGGAUUAGCUAGUUGGCGGGGUAAAGGCCCACCAAGGCGACGAUCCGUAGCUGGUCUGAGAGGAUGAUCAGCCACACUGGAACUGAGACACGGUCCAGACUCCUACGGGAGGCAGCAGUGGGGAAUAUUGGACAAAGGGCGCAAGCCUGAUCCAGCCAUACCGCGUGGGUGAAGAAGGCCUUCGGGUUGUAAAGCCCUUUUGUUGGGAAAGAAAAGCAGCAGGUUAAUACCCCGCUGUUAUGACGGUACCCAAAGAAUAAGCACCGGCUAACUUCGUG